GAUUUCCGGUGUGGGAGCAGCCGCCGGAGGCGGUGCGGCGGGGGAAGUGGGAGACGAGGAGGCUUGAGAUCUGGCGUUGGGGAUCUCGUCCUCGGUCUCGGCGAGGAGGGCGAUGGCGGAGCCGACGGGGGCGAGGCCACCCUCCUCCACCAUGAUAGCGGCGAGGUAGCCAUCGUAGAAGGUUUCGACGUCCAUGUCAGCUUUGUCGGACUCGACGACGACGACGCUCUCGCCCUUGGAGAGCUUGUCGCCCUCGGAUUUGAUCCAGGAGACGAUCUUGCCUUCGGUCAUUGUGGAGCUGAGGGCGGGCAUGAAG
This 316-nucleotide unclassified non-coding RNA is filed under the name Hevea brasiliensis (rubber tree). The record is from RNAcentral. Lineage: Eukaryota; Viridiplantae; Streptophyta; Magnoliopsida; Malpighiales; Euphorbiaceae.